GCGGGUGUAGCUCAAUGGCCAGAGCACCAGCCUUCCAAGCUGGGUAUGCGGGUUCGAUUCCCGUCACCCGCUCCA
Molecule: transfer RNA, 75 nt
Filed under: Egibacter rhizosphaerae
Lineage: Bacteria; Bacillati; Actinomycetota; Nitriliruptoria; Egibacterales; Egibacteraceae
Description: tRNA-Gly
Rfam family: tRNA
About the family: Transfer RNA (tRNA) molecules are approximately 80 nucleotides in length. Their secondary structure includes four short double-helical elements and three loops (D, anti-codon, and T loops). Further hydrogen bonds mediate the characteristic L-shaped molecular structure. tRNAs have two regions of fundamental functional importance: the anti-codon, which is responsible for specific mRNA codon recognition, and the 3' end, to which the tRNAs corresponding amino acid is attached (by aminoacyl-tRNA synthetases). tRNAs cope with the degeneracy of the genetic code in two manners: having more than one tRNA (with a specific anti-codon) for a particular amino acid; and 'wobble' base-pairing, i.e. permitting non-standard base-pairing at the 3rd anti-codon position.
Source: RNAcentral